UUGAAAACGUUAACGGAAGCAUUUAACAUUAAAGAAAAACUGUUUGAAAUAUAAGAAACUCCCAAAGUGAUAUAAUCCAGCCCAAAACCAGGGUGUCACUGAGUACAUGAGUGUCUAGAUCAGAAAUACAGUCUACUACAGUGUCUAGAGAUAUAAACUGAAAGUACGACAAAGAUAAAGGAGAGUCAAGGCCCGGAAACGCAGUGGAACUAUCUUGAUAGUCUCCAAAACUCUAGGAUCCUCAAUCAGCAACCGCCGCUACGACCGGUAUCGCCUGGAUCUGCACACGAGGUGCAGGGAGUAGCGUGAGUAUACCAACUCAGUAAGUAACAAGUCCAAACUUUGGACUGAAAGGUAGUGACGAACUCAACCUCAACAGGUAUAACAGAAAUAAAUGUGCAGAAACGUAGGCAUGCUUUCAAGUCAAAUAUACAUCUCAAAACAGUAAAGGAAAUACAGAUCUAAACAGUGUAAGGUAUACAACUCAGUUAUCUCUACAUGCCAAUGCACAGACUGUAUAAAAUACACCAUGUGCUCCACUCUCGAGUAUUCAAUCACUCGGUACUGUAUAUAAUCCAUCCCGGAACAUAUACAACACUGACUAUAAAUCACCAGUACCGAGGUAAAAGGGCAAUCCAACCCUGUGGAGAAAUCCAUCUCCAGGUAUCAAGUACUUCGGACAAAUCCAUGUCCAGGGAAAUCCAUCCCUCAAUAAUAUCAUCCGCGCUCACUUGGGGUGUGUUACAGACUCCGGAGGGGAUCCUACAGCCCAAGCGCUAUCAUAAUCAUCAAUAUAACUACUGCGGCGUGUAGCCCGAUCCCAUAAAUGUCACUCAUAACCAGGCACUCGGCCUCACUCAGUCAUCAACCUCUCCAGUCUCACCACGGGCUCAUAAUGUCAUGAAAAUAACUCGGAACAAUGAUAUGAUGAAUCAAUAAAUAAUUGAGUCCGAGAUAUGAUAUAAAAAUGCAUGAUCAUAACUGAGUAUGGAAUAGUAAAUGAAACUAGUGAGAUGACAGCAAGAACGGCCGCUAAGGGUCCAACCAAUCCCGGCACAAAGCCUAAAAAUGAUAUCUAGCACGAUCUACAACUCAAUUACUUUAUCACCUGAUGAAAACAUGGAUAUCAACAGGAUAGAGUCACUAAACGGUGCCAUGGAAUCACCCAGGUCACAAUUUUCACGGUGCACGCCCGCACGCCCGUCACUUGGCAUGUGCGUCACCUCAAUACCAAUCACAUAGCAUAUAACUUGGGGUCUUGAACCCUCAGAAUCAAGUUUGAAAAUGUUACUUACCUCAAACCAAGCAAAGU
RNAcentral lists this long non-coding RNA (1312 nucleotides) under Nicotiana tabacum (common tobacco). RNAcentral's name for it is "long non-coding RNA (NTAB_LNC018540)". Lineage: Eukaryota; Viridiplantae; Streptophyta; Magnoliopsida; Solanales; Solanaceae. The record is from RNAcentral.